UUUUUUUUUUUUUUUAUAAAUAUUUGGCUGUCGGGCUGACACAGCUUUUAAAAAUAUAAAAAAAAAACUUCAAGUAAGUCUGCAGCCAUGAUAAAUUUCCAAAAAAUCUGGCGGGCAUCAAAAGUGAAAAAAAAAUGGGCCCAAUGCAUGGCAAACAACCGAGUAUAAACUAAAAACAUUCAUCCCCUUUUUUUUUUUUUCGAGAAACUCACAUGUAGAUCAAUGUUUUAAAAAUCGGACCAUUAAUUGAAUCGGUGAAAUGAAAGGGUCGAGGUUCAACUGGUCGGACCGGUUCAACCUCAGUUCAAUGAAUUUUUUAAAAAAUAAUUUAUAUAAAUAUAUAUAUGUACAAAAUAAGACAUGUAAUGGACUAAUUUAAUACUUUAUAUGAUGAAAAGUUUACUAUUUUUUAAUAACUUCGAUUUUUAAAAAUAAAUUUUUUAAAUUAUAAGUUAAAACAAAUAAAUUUCAUCUCAAUUUCAAUUAUAUCUAAAUCCAACCCAAAAAUAUCACAAUAUUUUGAAAUUAUACAAAAUUCACGUCUGUGAGAAUUUAGAUAUUGUGAACUUAAAUUUUAAUUUACGUUUUGAGAUUUAGAGAUUGCAAUUUAAAAAAUGAAGUUUGGAGUUCGAAGGAAGUCAAGAAAAUCGAAAAUAAAAAUGUAAACUUGAUAAGAAACAAAAAAUGAGAUAAAAGUGAGUGGUUGUGGCAUUAAAUAAUUUGGGUUAAAAAAAUAAUUCUUUUUUAACUUUUUCAAUUUAAUGGAUAAAAACAAAAUUAAAAGAUGGAAGAAAACAUCAAUAAAUUAAAAAUAAAGAGGUUUGAUUAAAAAGGGAGUGACAAAAGAAAAGAGGAUAGAGAGAGAGAGAGUUGAAAAUUAAAAAGAAAGAGCCAUGAGAGGAUGAGAUUUUGUAAGAAAAAUGGAAAAAAGAAAUAUGAGUGUUUGCUUUAUAUAAAUAAGCUAUCAAAAAAAACUAAUAAGAUGUGAUGGUGCAAUGGUUACUACAUUCGUCUUCUGUUACAAAGGUCCGGAGUUCGAUCCUUGGUAGUUGUGUUUUUAAAACUUAAAAAAAAAAAAAAAAAAAGGGAAGGUUGAAAACCGGUUCAAUGGCGGGUUUCACGGUUCGACCGGUUCUUGACCGGUUUUCUGUAAAAGUCAACUAUGGCAUUGAACCGGACCGGUGCUAUGCCCGAUUCGCGGUUCAAUCGGUCAAACCGGCCCUUCCGGUCCGGUUUCAAAACAUUGAUGUAGAUGCAGAUGCAGAUGCAGGUUGUAAUGUCAGUAGUACUAUUUGUCAGUAGUGGUGGGACGGAGUAGUAUUGUGGCAGUCGGUAGCUUCUUCUUCUUUUUGUUUUUUUUUUCUUUUUUUCGUAAUACUUGUCCUACUAAUACUGUACUACUUAUAGAUUCUUAAAAAAAUUUAAAAAUCUUUUUAACUUUUAUAUUAAAAAAUUUUUAAAAAUGGAAAAAUUGUAGGGACAAGUAAAAAUGCGGAGGGACGAAAGUGAGAUGAAGGUGAGUGCAUGUGUGAGUGUGAGAGUGAGGAGAUGAGAAGGAGGUCUAGGAGGAGGUCGGAGGUGGUGGGAAAAAGGUAAAGACAAAAGUGGAGAGAGGGACAUGAGGAGACUAUGUUGAAGAAAAGAAGGGAAAUAAGUAUAUUAGUGUAGCAGUAGACCAGUAGUAGCGUAUCUUCUCUCAUUUCUCACAUGUCCCUCAACACCCUUAUCUUCAUCUCUCGUCACCUUUUUUUUACCUCACCAUUUCAAAGGUACUACUAUUAGUAAUUGUAACACCUAAUUGUAGGUGUUACUAAAUUACUACUAAUUGUAACGCUACUACUAAUUGUAACACCUAAUUGUAGGUGUUACUAAUAAAUUGUAGUAACACCUACGAAUUGUAAUUAACAUUCUUCUUUUUUUUUUUUUCAUUUUUGAUGCCCACCAGACUUUUUGGAAAUUUAUCACGGCUAAACCCCGCAACCUUGAGUUUUUUUUUUUAAAAAAAAAACUGCGUCAGCCCGGCAGCUUUUUUGUAGAUUUCCGUUUUGCUGCUCGGCUUGUUUAGCCCGGCAGCCAAACAUUUACUAAAUUUUUUUUUUCUCUUGCCUGCUGGGCUUUGUUAGCCUAGUAGGCAUAAUUUCGUACCAAAAGUCCGUCAAAACAUUAUUGUUGCGAUCUUUUUUUGAACAAUAAUCAGAGAAAUUAGCCCCAAUUAGCUGCCCUUUCUCUUAAAUUUUUUUUUUCUAUGAUCUUAAUUGAGCCACAUUGUUUAGGACCUAAUAUGAAUCGCUAAUUAUUAUAAAAGUCAUAGGCUCCGUUUGGAUUAACUAUUUUUUGGGGGUGUUUUUAAAAUAUUUUACUGUAAUAAUGUAAUUGAAAAACUUUUACUGUAUGUUUUUAAUGGAUAGUCAGGUGACAGAUUCCAUAGUGCUGAACGAAUUUGAAUAAAUUUAUCACUUCCUUUGUUCUAAUUAUUUUGUCAUAUUUCGAGAAUCAAACUUUUUAAAAAUAGUGUUUGAUUGUAAUAUUUUUGUACUUUUUUUUCGAUCUUAUCCUUACAAAUUUAAAAUUUGAAUUUGAAUAGUAACAUAUAUAUGAUUAAAUGAGAAACUAUAUUGAAAGGAGUGACUAAAAAUGAUCACCAACUAAUGUUAGUGGUAUGGCAUGGUACAAGGAUGUGAAUUAAUUGCCGGGACCUGAAAUUAGAGGACGGGAAUGGGAGGAAGCAAACGAGUCUCGAAGGAGAGAGGCUGGGGUCGGGGCGGGAGGGUGGAGUUUGGGCAGAGACAUAGUUGUCAAAAAUCGAUCCGGAUCGUAUUCAGAGUAGCAAAUCAUAUUAAUCUAUGUAGGAUCGUAGCAGGAUCGGUAGGAUCGUACGAUCCUACAAUUUUUUGUAAAUUUGUGAAAUACGAAGCUCCAUUUUGCAAGUAAAUGAAAAUAUUUGUGAUAUAUUUGUAAUUUAUCAAAGAAUUACAGCCUUUAAUUGCAAUUAGGAGCUUUUGGUAGGAUCUUACGAUCCUACGAUCUGAUUCUGUGAAACUAAAAUCGAUCCUACGUAGGAUCCCGAUUUUACAAACCUUGGGUAGAGACGAUAAAUUGGGUGGUCUUUUAGGAAUUUUACCAAUUAACUUGGGCAAUCCAAUAAGGCAGGAGUUGUACCAUGAAUAAGUACAAAUUGUCAUCUUCGUAUUUAACUUUUUAAUUAGAUGCUUGUCGAGACAUUCUCAUUGCAUAUCACAUCACGUAAUUGUUGCAAUAUGUGGCACUAGCCGCACUACCAACCAGGCUCACCACUUUCUUUUUUGGGACCUACCACUUUCACCUGAUUAAUUAACCUAUUUAAAUCCUUCGGUACCACUUUGAUUUAGUACCAUUUUACAACAGUACUCUAUCUAUUUGGACCUUUAUGGUUGUACGUUGCCAUUAAUACUCUAAUUUGGUCAUAUCAUUUUCGUCCAAGUUAGAUCAUUUAUAUCAACUUUUUUUUUUUUUGUUAUAUUGAAAGCAAUAGCUCGUAUUAGACCAAUGAUAUAACCUAACCUGAGUCAUUUAUUGCAUGAUUGCAAAUAUUCACUGCUUUCUCUUUAGUACGGCGUAGUGUUAGAGAACCUAAUUUAAUAAGUUUGUGAGAUCUAAUUGAUUUGUGAGUAGGGUUGAAAAUGAGGCCAGUCGAAUUCGAUUUUGAUCUUAUCGAGUCGAGUUUUGACUCAAUUUUAUUGAAUCUAAACUUGACAAGCUCUUAAUGUAAAACUCGAGAUUGACCUCAAAUUCGAGUUGAGUCAAACUCAAGUGCGAGCCUACUCUAGUUUAAAAAAAUAAUUAUUUUAUUUUAAAAAUAAAUAAAAUAGUAAUUUUUCUUAGCAAAUAAUAAAAUAUUAGAAAUAUAUAUUUAAUUUCAUAUAUAUAUAUAUAAAAUCAAGUGUAUCCCAAACUAAUGAGUUAAGUUUUUCUGUACUUGACUAAUAGUAAUUUCUGUACUUGACUUAAAAUCAAGCUUAUUUGGGAUUGAUUUGUUUCUGGAUGAUUUGUAUAUAUCAGUGAAUGUGUUUGUAUUGUUGCUUAAUGCUGGUAAUUCAUGAAGCAACAGUAAGCAUCUACAUCUAUAUUUCAUAAAGCAACAAAAGGAAGAAGAAAGAAAACAAAAUGACACAAAACGCAGUCCUAAAUCAAAUGAAGAGUUAAAGGGCCUGUUCCAUUUGCAUGCUUCACUCGGGUAAACAAAACUAGUGUUGAGGGCACGCCCAUGUGUGUAUAAUUUAAGAAGAAGUUAAUUUUUAUAAAAAAAAUUUUAAUGAAUUGAUAGCCAUCUUGAUAAUUAUGCCCAUUGAUAGUUAUCUUGGUUGUUAAACCUUUUUGUUUGAUACGAAAAAAUUUGGAUAUUUAAACCUAUUGGUAAUUGCGAUGAAAAUUAUGUUGGUUAUAUAUAAGAAUAAAUUUUAUAUACAUUGUCAGUGCAUACACUAUCACCGUUAAAUUCAUGACAUGUGUGUAAAAAUUAAAUUUCAAAUUCAAAUUUUACAUAAUUAUCAUUCAUCCAAUUCAUGACAUGUGUAUAAAAAUUAAAUUUCAAAUUCAAAUUUUACAUAAUUAUCAUUCAUCCAAUGCUGACAGUGUAUACACUGCUAAUGUAGGAAAGAUUAAUCCUAUAUAUAAUUGGAAUUGGAUAGUUAAGAUAAAAUUUAAUUUUUGUGAGUAUAAAGAUGUUUACCCCAAACCCUUCCUUUCUCUUUAUUAUAUAUAGUAUAGAUAUUAAGCAGGUCUAUUUCCAAUCCUAAUAGAUAGACGAUUUAGAGCGCAACAUGGUCCAAACCAGCUCAAUAAGAAAACUCGCAUGUCCAAUAAAGUAUGAACUACAACAUCUGAUGAAGACAAUACAACCAACACAACUGCAAGAAUUGUAAAACGGAUCCAGUCCUACAGAAAUCUCAGUUUCAACCUAAAAAAAAGUUAAGCAGUUUCAGCAUAAGGAGUCUCAAGAAUAGCUUGCUCAGCUUCCUGCACUUCCUUCUCUGUCUUCCUCCCCUUCUUUGACUUGUAGUACACGCUCAUGAAAGUUCCAACAGCUCUGUAUUUCCUCCUGCACUCCUCAUAGAGGUCAGCGUCGAACAUCCUCCAGAAGUUCUUCUCUGUCAGCUCUGACACAGCAUACUGUGGCUGGAAUCCAUGGUUUUCAAUCAACCAGUUCUCCAUUCUACGGACAGCAUCAGCCCCAUCAAAUACCUCACCUCUCAAGACUGGUCCAGGGGCAUAGUAGAUUCCAACAUCAGUGUACAUCUGAGCAUAAUGUGUAUCACCCUGCCUGUGCUGUUGCUCAAAUCCUGGCUCAGGAUAAAUCAUGGUUUUCACUGGUAGUUUAUACAUUCGGUGUGGGCACAUCCAAAUUGGAUACAACUAAAGAAACAUAAAACAACCAUUCAGAGAUCAAACAGAAUAUAUAUAUAUAUAUAAUAAUAGGAAGGCAAGCAGUAAAUUCUAAUUAGCAACUUAAAUGGAUAAUAAGGACCGGCAACAAAGCUCCGGGUAUGUGUACCGUUGUUUUGAAGAAAAGAAAUUAUCAUCAUACCUCCAUUUCACGGUGGACCCACUCGAGAGCAUCUCCAACCUUGUAAAGAGGAACAAGCAUAUCCUGAAUGACAUGCAUCUCAUGAUAAUAGUUCCUAAUAGCGUCACCUUGAGUAGCUUUAAGCAGAGAUACCUUGGGUGGCAUCAUCCAACCAAGGAGAAACCUGAACCACCAUUGAUCAGCAAAUGGAAGAAUGAGCUUCCCUUCCCAAUACAAACACCUUGUGUGUCUGUGGUAAUACUCCCUUGUAGGGAUGUACUCCACAAACUCACCUUUCUUUAGAGCUGUUUGAGCAUGCUGAUAAAACCAUGUCUUGAACCACCAACAAACCCUGUUAAUCUUAUUUCCCUUCUGUUUGGCCUCUUCUUUUGAAGCAUAUCUACCAGUCAUGCAAACAGCUUCUGUAGGAGAGUAAAUCAUGGUUUCUACAAAAUCUGGAACCUUGUUAGGAUUAUCCUGAUCCCCAUCCCUGGGGCAAAAAGAAUCAAUAUAUCCCUGUGCAAGCUCUUGGAGAUUGCCAACAACUGGUUUGUAAGUUACUCUCAUAUACUCUUUGACAGGAAUAAGCUUGAUCUCAGCAGCAACGAGAAGCCCCAGUGUUCCCUGAGACCAUGGGAUAGCAUAGAAAAGGUCAGAGUAUUCAUUGUCCUUGGUAGCUCUAACUAACUGCCCAUCUGCUAAUAUAAUUUCAUAGGCUACGACGGUAUCAGAGAAUAGGCCAUAAAUAUGGGAGCUCCCUUCAAUCCCAUAGCCAUUAAUGAGCCCACCAACAGUCAGGUCAUCAAGCUCAGCAACAACUGCUAUGGCUAGAUUCAUUGGGACGGUAACCCUAGAUAUAUGACCCAUAUUGACAAGAGGCUCAACUCUAGCAAUCAUUCUCUCCUUGUCAACAUCAAGUAUGUUUCUGAAAGCAGAAAGAUCAACCUCAAAAUGCCGAGCACGCUUAUAGUCAACAUUGCGCAUUCCAACAGCUAUCCAUGGCUUCCGCGCUGUGCAAACAAGACCAUCCUUUGAUGGAUUCCUUUCUUUGAGCCGCUUCACAACUUUCUUAACAUUUUCAUCAUGCUCUUUUUGACGCUGCUUGAAGGAUUUACACUCAGACCGCACAUCCCCCAGAUAGUGCAGGAAGUACAUCGUGAAUGAGAUAGGCAAAACAACAAAGAUAACAAUGAUCCACCGAAACUGGACAAAGUAGUCCACCAAGCCCUUCUUCCUCUUGGGGCGAAGAGGGGCCUCAAGAUCUGACAUAUUGGUGAAUGAAUGUAUAUAGUACACCCUAAAAAAAUGAAAAUCAGAAUUCUUUAGUUUACAGAUAAAACAUACACCAUGCACUUUAGACUCAAAAUCUGCUACAAUGGCAUAAACAGAAGAAACUUGCAGUUAUCAAAUGAGACAUUUUACCAGAUAGCCAGCUAAUUACUUAUUGACAAGCAACAUUCCAGUUCACAUAUGUCAGAAAUGAUAACUCCAAAGAAACUAUCGUGACAAACAGCUCAAAAGGAUACAGAUGUAACCGUAAGCACCAAAUAUAUUUUAAAAAUGGCCAUAAAAUUGUUUCAUGCCAGAACCACAUUGUCCUACCUAAAACUGUUUUAACUAGCCACAAGAGGCAUGAAAAGUCUGAAAACAGUUUCUAACAUAGCAACUCAAUGAAAAACAAAAAUGCAGAAGUAAGAAAACGAGAGACUGUGCUGAAGUCAGACGUUUAGAGAUUUUACACCUUGACUUGUUCUCCUAGAACUUAUAGAUUCUGCACCAUUCACGCACAGAAGAAUACAUUGAGACAAUCAAUGAAUGGAAUCUGUACAAUCUACCAUAGGACGGUAAAAGCACAGUUCCUACAGGAUGAUAUCUAAUGUUUUCAAAGUGUUCUUUUUGCAGUAAUGAUUUAGUACCAAACAAAUAAGAAGAUCGUUCAAAAAUCACCUAACAGGUACAAAUUCGCUGAUUUAACUACCACGGGGCCCCAAUCACCAGAAAUUGUUCAAUUUUGUACAGUCACGUGCCUUUGCAACAAAAAGUUUUCGCAAUAUUGAUCCUUUUAUUUAUCUUUCUCAUGGGUGCCAUGUAUUAUUUUAAUAUUUACAGCUAAAAGAGGGCAUCAAAAUCUGAAGCUAAUUCUAUACAGAUCCAUUAAAGAGUUUUGCUUUUUACCCUUAUUUUGCUAAGCAAACAUCACAUGAGCAUUCACUUGUCAGUGAUCACAAACAAGGACAACCACAUUCUUCUUACAGUAUAUUCCACUUCACCCUUUUACCAUCAAAAGGGUUCUUCACUUCAGAUUUGAAAAUGCAUUGUGAACUACCAAAAAAGAAAAGAAAAAAAAAAAAAAGCUUUCAGCCCUCAAUUCUAAUCAUUCACAUUUUUACUCCAAAAGCAGAAUUCAGUUCACAGAUCCAGAAAACACACGAGUCAAAGAAACCACGGACUAAAAAGAGUUAACAGGUAAAACGAUUUUACAAACCAAAACAAACGAUUGUACACUUAAAGAUAUUAAAUUAAACUAAAGGCCUAGUAUAUCUUCAGAUCUAUUGUGCAGAACACGUCUAAAUCUCAAGAAUGAAAAAAUUUUUGCAAAAGAACAGCCCAUGCAUGCAAGCAAAACAGAAUACACAAAAACCCAAAUGAUAAAGCUAAAAAACUUGCUACCCAAAAAAAAAAAAACAGAAAUCUUCAAGAAAAACAACACAUCAAAAGCCCAGAACAUAAAUUCCUUGAAAUAUUGAUUCUUGAAGCAAUUAAAUUCAGAAUAAUUAUCCAUAAUAAGCACCAAGAAAGCAAUGUAGAAGAAAGCAUAAUAUAAAAUUCCUGAAACAGGGAUUGGAGGGAGGUACCUCAAGAGUCAGAGAGGAGAGUGGAGAGGAGUAAGAGGACGAGCAAAUGCUGAAGCUGAAAGUGACAGGAAAAGCCGAACAUAAAUAAUAGAGAGCUGAAGAGGAGAAGGGGUAGUUUUGUAAAAGAUGGUGUCAGACUCAGAAUCCCAUGGGACUGCUAUACUGCUAUAUAAGCGGCUAUAUGGCCGUUAUAUGGGCUUUGAAGAAUAUCUUACAUAUUUGUGUAGGCAUUAAUUGAAUUAGAGUCUUUGCCUAAUCUUUUAAGGGUCUGUCUUAAAGCUGACACAGCAAAGACAAGGGAUAAUAGAUAAAAUUAAAUUAAAAAAUUAUACAAGAUUAAUUAAAGAAAAUAAAUAGAUAUAAAAGAUGUUAGAUAAAAUUAAAUAAAGAAAGUAUGUAUAUAUAUAAGAGGCUAAUAAUUAUUAAUAUGUGUACAUAGAUGAUAAGUUAGGUAAAAAUAUUAGAUAUGUUAACAAAUAUCCAUUAAAAUAUGUAUAUAAAUAUAAAAGAGAAUAAUAAUUAUCAGUAUAUAUUUAUAUAUAUGGUAAGUUAAGUGAAUUUUAAUUAUGUUAACCAGUGCCCAUUAAACCCAUCUUUUAAUUCAAGAAAUCAAUCAUUAGUUGCACAUUGAUAGAGCUCAAUUAUUAGGCUAAUGGAAAUAAUAGUACUUACUACAUUUAUUUUUUGAAAAUAGUAUAUUUUUUCAAUUGAUAGUAUUACAUUGUAGUAGUUUUUUUUUUUGAAGUGACACCACGGAAGAAAUAGUUAACACUUUAAAAAGACAUUAACUGGUAUUACACGUUUUAAUUAAAUUGUCAUACAGAAGGAAGACAUUAGGUUUGUUGGAACAUUAUUUAGGAUUAAACUUUUUAUACAUUGAUAGUGUAGUAAUUUUUUUUAUGUUAAUAGUUAUAAAUGUAUGCUACAUCUUCAUGAUUUAACUUUUAAAUUCAAAUUCAUAUUAUGUGAUAUGAUAUAAAUCUAUUACUUUUAAAAAAAUAUAUACACUAAUAAUGUAAAAAAAUUACUCUAUUAUUUAUACAUUGAUAGUGUAGUAAUUUUUUUUAUGUUAAUAGUUAUAAAUGUAUGCUACAUCUUCAUGAUUUAACUUUUAAAUUCAAAUUCAAAUUAUGUGAUAUGAUAUAAAUCUAUUACUUUUAAAAAAAUAUAUACACUAAUAAUGUAAAAAAAUUACUCUAUUAUUUAUACAUUGAUAGUGUAGUAAUUUUUUUUUAUGUUAAUAGUAAUAAAUGUAUGCUACAUCUUCAUGAUUUAACUUUUAAAUUCAAAUUCAUAUUAUGUGAUAUGAUAUAAAUCUAUUACUUUUAAAAAAAUAUAUACACUAAUAAUGUAAAAAAAUUACUCUAUUAUUUAUUCGUACAUAUCCAUUUCACUUAGUGGUAACUUUUUUUUUUGAAGGAACUUAGUGGUAAUUUUAUUGACACCCAAAACAAAAAAUCUCAAUCAGAUGGCCAACUUUUGCCAACAAUUGCAUCAAAAGUGCCCUACUCAUAUAUUUUCCCCGUUCCAAUAUUAGAGCCGUUUUUCAGAAAUUCAACUUUUUAUAAAAAUAUGAUAUCUAGAUGAUGUGGCAUUGAUAAAUUGAUAUAUAUAUCCUUUGUAUUUAAAAUAUUCUCUUAAUAAAUAUGUAUUGAAAAUUUUAAAAACUACUUUUUUAAAUGAUAUGAUUAAAAAGUAUAUGUUAAUUUUAAAAUAUUAAUAAAAUAAAAAUAUGACAACAACGAUGGAACAGUCAUCCAUUGGUACAUUCUAGUCAUAACGUUGAUUUAUCAUACUAGGCUUCUUCAUGUCAAAGUACGAUACGUCAACAUCAGGAACCACCAAGAACGACUAAAAGGUUGGUACAUUAUGAGCCAUAUCAUACUACGUCACAAAAGGGUUUUUCUAUUUAGUGUUUUAAAAGAUGCACCAAAAAAAAUUGUCCAGUAUCACUUUUUUCAUCAAAAAAUGCAAUUCAAAACUGUAUUGAUAAUCUUAGAAUUUUUAAACAACGGAUCUACCUCUUUCUUUAUGUGUACACAGUGGCUGGCGGAGCCAGAAAAAGUUUUCAGUAGGAGUAAAAGUAACGUUAAAAUUUUUUACCUACUCAUUUUUUAGUUUUUUAAGUAAAAAAAAAUUCACCAAUAAGUUGAAAUAAAAAGUCUUUUUUUCAGUUUACUUUAAAUGGAAUUUCGUGAUCCACAUAUUCUUUUAAAAUAUUAGUUCAUAAACCAAUUUAGAGAACCACAUAAUUCUUUUACUUCCUUCAUAAAAAAAAGCUUUGGAAACACAUUUAAAAUUAUAUCAAAAUUUUACAAGUAUUGCCCGUGCCCCCACCUUAAAUCAGCCACUGUGUGUACACGAUUUGGUGUAACUCGCGUUGGGAUAUCAAACAGGAAAACCUAUCACGUUUUCAUGAAUACCUAAGAGCUAUAGUUAAUUUUCAACCAAUCAUAUACAAGAGAACAAACAAAUAGAUCCAUGAUGUGUUAAAUUGUGAUCUAAAGUUGGGAAUCAUAUUAUCAACUAGAAUCGAAACAUAAUAACACUUUUUUCUAAAAAAUUACAAAUAGCAACACCUAUUUCAUUUUUGAGUCAGGUUAAAGGUGCUCAUUAGCCACUCAUUGAAAUGUACUUCAACUGAUAAAUUUUUUAAAAAGUAAAAUUAAUUAAGAAAAGCGUAUAAAUGCAUGGUAGGUUGGACACAUAUUAGGAUAACCCUUCAUUUUUAACCGGGGAGAAAGGUUCCAACUAAAGAUUUACAACGGUAACAAUGGGCAUUCAUCUAAAAAUUUUUGUUUUGAAUUAUCAAGUUUAAUGCUACUCUUUUUUUCUUUUUAUAUUUUGUAAAAAGAGUUAAAAUGAAUUCGAUUUCGAUCACUAUCACGAGGAAGGAUAUGUUUGCGGGAUCAUAGAUCAUUCACAUAUACUCUUACAAAUCGCUCACCAAUACAACUUUCACAUCAACAAUGAAAUUUUGUGAGGAAGUGAUUUGUUUUUAUCAAUUGAGUCAAUUUAUGUUCGUGGUACAGUGCUACUAUGUUAUUACAACUAUUACUCAAAUUGUCAUAUUAUUAAUUAAUCUUACUUGUUUAAAAAUUUAACAGUUGAAGUAAGAUUAACAGUUUCUUUAACAGCUAUUACUCAAAAUAUGGACCUGCUGUAAUAUAACAUUAGUUUCUUUCAAUUUCUGCUGACAAAAUUAUAAAUCAAACAGUAAGUCAGAAAACGACAGACAUUUGAAACGAUUAAACAAAAAUUAAAAUACAUCUCGAUUUCCGCGGAAAUAUCGGAGACAGAUCACCUGGAGAUUCGAGUGGACUGGCAGUCACGUGGUCUUAGUGGGUGAGGCACGUGACAUGGUGUCCCAUUACGUACCAAAUUCUAUUAGGAGUAAAUUAAAUAUCUAAUUAAUUCAUUCAUUAAUUGGACCACUUAAUUAAAUAUUUGUAUAAAUAUCUGAAUUUAGAUUAUUUAAUCCUGCUUGUUAAUGCAACACAGCUAAAAAGGAUAUGUCCUUUCAUAGUUUUUCUAACCUUUUUUCUUUUUUUUUUGUGAUCUACUUCUAUAGUUUUUGUAUUUUUUUCCAUACAGUUUAAAUUAAAAAAGUAUUAGUUGAACCAGAACACAAUUAAAUUCAAAAAAAAAAAAAAAUUAGAUGUUGGAUCCAUUAAGCUUAAGGUACACUUAGAGAUGAAUUAAUUCUUUUGUUAAACUUUUCUUUUUGUGUCAGGAGAUUCUUCUUGGGAUUAUUCAGUUGAUAAAGUAUUACUUUGGUGUAGGUUUCUGAAAACUAGACAGGGUUUUUUGUUUUUUGUUUUUUGGUGGUGUCGGGGUUUUUUUUUUAAAAAAAAAAUAUAUAAUGAUCUAGAAUUCCAGAUCUCUUAGCUAGUUGUUAGCUUGCCUUUGUUUUUUCUUUUGACUUGAACAUAUUUACAGUUUUCAUUUUUUUAAAAUUAAAUUCGUCUCCUUUGCCAAGAAUUUUUGGUUAAUGUUUCCUCAUGCUCUCUCGUUGGCAUAAAUAAAAAAAUGGUGAAAUGGUGAUUAAAAAUGAAUGUUUAUUUUUAAACUCAUCAUUAAAAGUUUAGUUCAACUCUCAACUGAUUGUUGCAGUGUCUGCAAAUCAAGAUACGAUUUUGAUUAACUCCAAGUUAGCUUGUUAAUUAUUACAUGGACACUUUUCACAAGAGAAUAAAGGUUUGAUGCAUAUAUAGUUUUUGUGAAACAUUAAAAAAAGAUUAAUUACAAUUAAUCCACUGAAGGUGUACCCUAUUUCUCGCUUUAUCCCCUAACUUUUAAUUUUUGUCACUUAACUUCCUGUAGCACAAAAUUACCUUUCCAUUAAUUUGACUUUUCAUUUAUCUUUUUCCCUUUCACCUUUUUCCCCUCUUUUAUUUAUUUUUUCUCUUUCUUCUUACUUCCAUCAUUUCCAAUAAAAACUCCAUCUCAACGGAAAAUUUUAUUUUGAAUUUGUAAUUGCAUUUCUAGGUGAAGUUUUUUAAUUGUGAUUAACCCAAAAAAAUAAACAAAAGAAAGAAAGGAAGAUAAUUAUAUGGGCAAAAGUCAAGGAGGUCUUAGUCUAGAAAUCAAUUAUGUUGAGAUCUCUAAAGUCUUGGAUUCAAAUCUCCUUUCCUCUUCCUCUUUUUUUAAAUCUCACUUCUCUCUCUCUCUUGGCAUCCAUUUUUUUUUAAAAAUUACAUGGGCAAAAAUAUCACUUUUAUCUUCUCUCCCAAAACAACUGCAAAAAUAGCAAAUAUUUGACUGAAACAAGUAAUCUAAUUUCUGGAAAAUCCCAUCCUUACAGAGUUCUCUUUUUUUUUUUUGAAAACAAAUUGAUAGGUCGCAAUUUUGUUAUAUAUUUUAUAAUUAAUUCCUUCGCAUUAUACUACCAAAUGUGCGUUAACUAGUAGAUUUUAUUUACUUUUGGGAAUUUGUGCUGUUCGCAAGGAGUUGGAACAGAAAGUGAUAAAAAGGCGCAAAUUCCUCACUACAUUAGCUUUGAGCCGUCUAGCGUUGCAAAGUGGGCUACAAACCAUUGCCAAGGUUGUUUCUUGAUUAGAGCGUAGUUAUUAUUAAUUUGGUUUUAAUAAUUUGUCAUUUCAUUUUUAGUUGGCCAUUUAUUUUUAUUUGAACCAUUUAAUUAUUACCAAAAAACUCCUCUUUGUUAAUUUGAAUUUGAAAAGAGACAAAUAACCUCAAUCCCUAUGGAUUCGACCCUGCUUAUCACUAUCUACAGAAAUUAUAUUUUGUUUGAGUAGGUAUUUAUUAUUGCACAGGCUCGACAACCUGUCACAAAUGUCUCAAACGGGCCAAGUUGCCUUCCCGAUUGGUAAUCAUAAAUUUGAUAGGGAAAAUGUAAAAGGUGAAAAAACCAUAAACAGACCAUUUUUACUAAUCAACUAACCAUCCCAAGAGAACGCAUGAUGUCUUCAAUUCAUUGACCCUUAAAUAAAUCAUUCUUAAAGGGUCUUUCCAUUUAAGUUCGCUAAGACUAAGAGAAACAUAUAUAUUUCUCCUAAGAAUAAACUUCUAGAGAAAAGUAUAAAACCUGUCAACAAAAAUCCUUGGAAAGUCAUAGCUCGAUGCUGCUGAUCAAUACGCUAAUUCCAGAUGUGUUCGGAUACAAAAUUAUUUGAAAUAUUAUUUUAUUUACAUCAUAAACAUAUUUUUUAAUUCAUCUUUCUAUAUUUCAAAUUAUUAUUUUAUUUCACAUACAUUACGUCACAAAAAAUACUAGAAUAAUUAUUCCAUUACUUCUUUUUGGUUCAAAAGAAAAGUUUGUAAUUCAACUGAGAAUCUCACACGAUCACUUAAUUUACAACGUCCCAAUGGACUUUAAGUCAUUGUCGAUUUUUCAAGAAACAGAAGGAAGAGAAAAUGGGGAAAGACAGAUUGGAGAUGAGCACAAGAGAAACAAGCUCAGAAGAGGGCAAGAUAAACAAGAAACCUGGAUGUCCAGGGAGAAGUUUUCCACGCUGUCUUUGACGAGAGAAUCAAUUGUUUGAAUAGAGGUGAUGUAUACUGCACACAAUGGAGGAUGGAUUCACCGGUACAUUUUCCAAAUCAACAGAAUGAUGAGAAGCUGUUCCACAAUAUAAAAACAUUUGGAUCCAUUUGAUUAGUACACAUUUUUGGAGUUUAAUGUCACUAUAUUGAGCAAUUUGGAUCCAUUUGAUUAGUUGUAGAAUAUUAUAUAUUUGGAAAAUUACAUAUUACUUGUAGAAGGGUUAGACAAUAACAUUUCGACGUUAAGUCUUGAAAGCUCUUCUUAAUGAGGAUUUAACAGCUAUGGCCUGAGUAGGAUUGAUGUAAUUGUAUUGAAAGAGAAGAAGAAAAGUUCUUAUAGAUGGGGUUAAUAUCAUUUUGGCCUCUAAAGUGGUUAAAUAUCUCAAUUUGUUCUCUCUAACUAAAAGGAUCUUGAUUUGGUCCUCCAAAGUAGCAAAACGUCUCAAUUUGAUACCUCUAACUAGGGGUGUGCAAAAUCGAAAAAUUCCGAUUUACCGACCGAAUUCGAAUUGAAUUCGGAAUUUUCGAAAUCGGUAAAUCGGAAAUCGGAAUCGAAUUCGGAUUUCCCGAAUUCAUAUAUUUCGAAUUUGGUUCGAAUUCGGUAAUGGAGUUUUUCAAAUCGGAAUUUCCGAUUUCGAAUUCACAAUUCGAAAUCGGAAUUCGAAUUCCGAUUUCGAUUUCAAAUUCGUUUUUAAUAUAUAAAUAUAUUUUUUAUACAUGUAAUAUAAAAUUUAUACUAUAUAAUAUUAUAUAAAAUUUAUAUAAUAUAAUAUAAUAUAAUAUAAUAUAAUAUAAAAUUUAUAAAAUUUAUAUAAUAUUAUAUAUUAUUAUAAAUUUUAUAUUAUAUAAUAAUAUAUAAAUUUUUCCGAAUUCGGUGAAAUCGGUGAAAUCGGAAUUUACCGAAUUCCGAAUUGAAUUCGGUACGAAUUCGAAUUCGGAAUUGGUGAAUUCGAAAUCGAAUUCGGUCGAAUUACCAGGUACCAAAAUUUCGAAAAAUUCCGAAUUCAAACUUCCGAAUUACCGAAUUCGAAUUCGAUGCACACCCCUACCUCUAACUAGAAAAGUUUCAUUUUAGUAAAGUAGCACAAAAUCUCAAUAUGGUCUCUUAAAUAAAAAAAAUUCUCAAUUUGGUCUUCCAAAUUGAGAAAGUACCACCUUGGUUCUCCAUUAUUACAUUAGUGGUUCAAUAACUCUCGAAGAAUCAAGUGGUAAUAAACAAAACUAAGAAAGAUUUAUUACACUAUUAAAAUUUUUUUCCUAUUUUAGCAAUUUCAAUGAAAAGUGCCUUCUUUUAUUGAAUUAAUUUUUUGCACACUUUUUUAAUCUCUAAAUUGUUCAAUAUUAUAUCAUAAAUAACCUGCAAAAGAUUGCAUCAUUGUCAGCAAAACACUAGGUUGCAAAAUGCUUGCUAGACUUGUAGAACUAUUAAAACAACUUCCUAUCUUGUAGUUUAAUUUUUCAUAUAAUCAGCAAGCCUCUAAUACCUUUAAUAUUAUAGGAUGAUCAAUUUGGAAUAAUUUUUUUCAAUAAGAGGAUCAAAUUGAGGUUUUUUGUUUGAGGGAUGAAAUUGAGAUGUUUGGGUAUUUCAAAGGACCAAAUUGAGAGCUUUUCAAUAUAAGGGACAAAAUUGAAAUUUUUAUGGAGGACCAAAAUGAAAUUAAUCCUUAUUUAUUCUAACAAGUGGGAACUUGUUCUACCAAUUACUUAAGGGUCAAUUUCUGGUCCUCCAAGUUGAUCAAAAAUCCGAUUUUGGUCCUCAAAAUGAAUAAUUCUCAGUUUGUUCCUUAAAGUGGUAAACUAUAUUCAUUUGGUCCCUCAAAUUGAGGAAGCCUCACUUUGGUCCUCCAAAAUAGUACAAAGUCUCAAUUUCUCCCUCAAAUUUUAAAAACAAAACAAUCUCAUUUUGGAUCUUCAAUUUAAGAAAAUAGUUUUAGUUCCAAACCUAUUAUAAAUAAAGACAAAGACAUCAAACUAUUAAAGAUAAAAACUAAGAAUGAUUAUUUUAUUAUUCUAGUAAAGUUUUCUUGCUUUGCUUAUUUCAAUUAAAAAAAAUUAGGAUAAUAUAAGUGAAACCUCCAUGUGGUUUGCAAAAGUCAAUCCACUUCCCUAUGGUUCAAAAAUAUGCAUAAGAUCCUCUUGUGGUUUCGAAUGAUGCACAAUAAUUGAUAGUUCUAGCAAAGACAUCUCGAUGUUUGAUUACAAAAUGCGAUAGAAGAAGGAAAAUAAGAAUUGGAGUUAUUGUGGAUAUUUUCGAACCAUAGAAGGUGGCUUGACUUUCUUGCAAAUCGCAAUGAAGUUCCACGUAUUUUUCCCAAAAGAUAACCUUCUUUUGUAGAGACUGUGUAACUUUUUUCCUUUACAAAACCUCUAACCUAAAUUGCUGCUUGACAGAAUCAAAAGUAACCAACAAAAGAUUGCCCUUCGUCAUCGGAAAAUUAAGUUCACAAUAUUUCUUGUUGAACAAUUAAUAAAACUAGUUUAUUUUCCUUCUUUUGCCGAUUAAAUUCUUUUACAAAACCAAUUUUUAAUGCUUUUAACAAAAUUGGCUUAAUUGAUCAUCUUGGACCAAGUUGAGAACUUUUUGGUUAAAGGAUCAAAUCGAGCUUUUUUGCUACUUUGGAAGACCCAAAUGAGGGAUUUUUCAGUUUAAGGGACCAAUUUGACAUAUAUUUGCUACUUUGGUAGUGAGAAUUUUUUUGGUUUAACGGAGCAAAUUGAGAUUUUGAACCCCUUUGAAUGAACAAAAUUAAAUUAACCCAUAAAUUAAAAGUGUUUGUUGAUUAUUAGUCCCUCUGGCUCUGUUUUUGUUCAUCAUGUAUUUCCUUGCUCUUCGAUGCUUUGUUUUUCAGAAAAGUUUAGGGUCGACUUACGAAAAAUCAAAUUCCAGAAUUCUCUUCUAUUUAAGAUAAAUUAACAUACUCACUUUGAGAGUGUUAAUCUCAUAAUAUGGUUUUUGUCAUGAAGUACCUGUUUGUCUCAAUUUUAUUCUUUUUUAUUUAUUCAUGUAAAAUUAAAUUAACUCAGGUGUCAGACAAUGGAGGGAUUGUUACACCAACCAAAGUACCCCACCAUAGCAAAAAAGAAAAAAAAAAGAUUGGUGUCUUCGAAAAAGCAUUGUUCCAUUUGUAAUUUUCAAGUGUAUACUUCAUCACUUCAAUAGGAACCAAAUCUUAUUAAAAAGAAAGCAUUAUCCUAAACUAAUGAUAUAAACAACUUUUUUUUUUUAAAAAAAAAUUAAUCAUGCAGAUCUCGAAAUCACCUAGACAGAUCACAACCAAUAAAUUAGUAAUUACUACAACAUAAACAAUUAAGGCCAGUGGCUGGUUAGUAUAUGACUUAGCCAGCUCCAAGUCAUUGAGUAUGGAAUCUAUGAAAUGCAAAAGAAAGCAACUGACCAAUGUGAAUCAUUUUUUGUUAUUAAGCCGCCAUCUUUGAAUCAUGUUCAUCCAAAUACUUUUGAUUACAAAAUUGUCAUCGGCACUCCAUUAUUGAUGCAUAUGGGCUGGAUUAAGAAGAUUUCAGGAAAGACUUCCAGGACCGUAUGAAAUCCUUCCAUUUUCCGUCAUCAUUAUGAGAAGUGCAAGACUGGCAAUGAUCAGUUUGCUUCAAGGUACAGAACCAUGGCAAAGAUGUUGUCCAGUAGAUUCUUCCCUUCGAAAGAGAGUGAGAAGAACUGGAGAAAGUACAUGGCACUAACUUGCAAAACUCCCCUUGAAGAAAUGCCAAGUUGUCCAAGCAUUUCAGAAAUUCCCAAAUUCUGAAAGACACCAAACCUGAGGCUUAUACUCCUCGAGUUUUAGGCUUCGGACCGAUUCAUCAUUGUCGUCUCGACUUACCUGAGUCGUCGAUGGUGUUAAAGCGUUUAGUACUCGCUGCUCGCAAUGUCAAAGUGGUCGAAAUUGUGAAAUUUCUGAAAAGUUUUCCAAAGGCCUUUUGAAGAGAGAAUCUACUCAUGUUAUGGCAACUACCUUGAUUUUUGUGAGGAGACCUUGAUGCUGAUUGUGAUUGUUGACUCCAUAUGCUUGCUUCAGCUCCUCCAAGAUCUGGAGAGCUACCAGGAAAGUCCAAAGAAGGUGCAGGAGGAAUUUAGUUUGAUGAUACCUGAUUUAAUGAUGCUGGAGAACCAAAUCCCAAUCGCUAUGAUUCUACCAGUGUUACAGCAUUGUAAUCCUGAAAAAGGGGUUCUUUAAGGUGGUGAACAUUCUAUUCGACAUUGCUUAUAAUUCCAUUAGCAGAUUUUCGCCAGUGAAAUUGACCAACGAUGACAGGGAACAUAUGAGAAAGAUCUGAGGUCCUCCACAACAUUUGCAGCGUUUUAUGUAUAAUUUGGUUGUGGGCAGGAAGCUUGCUGCAAUGUCACAACAUGGUAAUAAACUCCCAGGAUUGAUCGGGGAAAUAAGCCCUGAAUCUACAGGAUCUAACAUCUUGCAGCAGACAGGGGAAUCUCUGAUAUACGCUGGGAAGCAAGCCAGAGAGUUUUUCAUCCAGGCAAUUGGGGAAAUAAACUCUACAACCGCAGCUGCAAAAGCUGGAGGUCUCUAAGUCCCAGAAUGGUUGGACAAGACUGCACAAGGUGUUGCGAAGGCUGUGAGCUUCACUGAUCAUAAGAAGCCAGAAACUGUAUUCGAUGAAGUUCAUUCUGUUUCAGAACUUCACGAUAUUCCUAACAUAACCAUUCAUGCCCUUCCAGUCGGAUGUGGUUUCGGUAACAUUGAUUUUGACAAAACUAACAAAAAAGUCUACCUCCCAAUCAUGACUCUGAAUUAGUUUUCAGAAGUCAUAUUGAGAAAUUUGGUCGCGUUUGAAGCAUCAUAUGUGGAGUUUACAAGGUGACCAUCAUCAGAAGUUAGAGAUCAUAUGGGUCUAAUGUGUGCUAUUGUAAAAAAAAACGAUGUGCAGUUGCUGAAGGAUGCCAAGGUCAUAGAAACGCAAUUGAAAGAUGAAGAUGUAGUCAAAAUAUUCAAGUCAAUGAAGAUAUCCAUGGAAAAGCUAGGUCAGAAGUCCGAAUUCAUCGAUGCAUUUGGCAAAUAUACGAAUCAAGAUUUCGAUAAUCACCCGGUAGUCAAGGCCUGUAACUGGAUAAAGAAAUGGGCUCUUGCUUUGGUGAAUUAUGUAAAGCGAACUUGGCCUGUGUUUGUGGUGCUGCUGCUUUUUGUCCAAACGUUUUGUGGUAUCUACGAAUGCCGUCACCAGCCAUGGUUUGGGAUUAUAGCAGAGACUGCUGCAGAACAGCACCUUCCUUUGCAGGAUGCUUCAUUUUUAAGCCUGGACCUGCAAGCUGGACUCUCGAUACCCUGCAAACUUCUUCGAUAUUCCAUUUAGCUACAAAUUGGUGUCAAUUAUGGUGGUGCUUUCAUACGGUUCUAUACGAUUAUUGUAAUUGCUACAUUGUUUAGCGUAUAGUCACAUUACACUGUUGUGUUUAUGAAAAAGUUGAUGUAAGUGAACAAAACUUUACAUAUAUUCGAUACAACAAUAUAAUGUAAUUGCACACCAAAAAUCAUAAGUCACAAUAACCGGAUAAACACUAAACAACCAUUCCUGCGCCCAAUUGGAUGGGGCAGGUAAGAUCAGGCAUGGCGUAAUGGAUUCAAGGAACCGUGCAGGCUUAAUAGGGAGCUUAGAUUUGUACCAACUCUUGAUAGAAAAACAUCAACGUAUGCAAGUGUAAGCAAAAUGCUUAUAUUAAUCUUCAGCAACCGCAGAAAUACAUCACUGUCUUAGCCCCCGUCCCACCACCCAAGCUUUUGCCUAGUGUACCACUGCUAUUUGUGGAUUAAUACUUCUUACCCCCUUAUUAUUUAUUGGUAUGUGUGUCAGUUGUUAUGUUUGAUGUUUGUCUCGCUUGGAGACUAGCUAAUUUUGCUUUGUAUUAGUGAUCUAUGUUUGGAAAAGUGUCAAGUCAAUCUCCUAAAAUAAUGAUCAGUUGAUCAUCCUACCCUUAUGAUAUAUCUAGUGUAUGAUAAAAUGGUAAUUUUCUGAAACAUGCAAGGUGUUAGAACCCGAAUAUGCUGACUUUUCAGGCAUAACUGUGAAACAUUACGCUCAUACUUGAUAUGUUGCAAUGGGAAUAUGUUCCAAUGUUGAAAGGUGAAAGAACAUCUUUUGAGGAAAUAAUUAAGUAGUGUGCUCAUUAUGAUGGGUGGCUUUUACGAAUGGAGCCAAGUUAGACCUAAUCAAUGUAAAGGGGAAAUAAUUGAGUCUUCCAAAACAAAAAGUAGUGAGAGUAACUUUGAUGCAAAGAAAAUUAAGCAUUAUUUAGGGGUGCAAUUAUUCAACAGCAGGAGGUACAAGAGCAAGUUGUGCAGUUGAUGAUGACAAACACAAAAUUGGACCGCAUACCUUUAGCUUUAGUUCAUUGAUCAUAUAUCUUUGCAUCAGGUUGCCCGAAUUAGUAAAGAAUGACUAUUAUUGACAUGAUUUUGAUACGUAGAUCAAUAUAAACUGCUUGAUGAAGAUAGUAGCAGAUAUUUGACAGUAUUGGUUGGGAGUUCGGUUUUACACAGGGAUACUUGUAGUCGUUUCAUCUGUUUGUGCAUUUGAACCUUGGUCCUCUAAUCAAGAACAUAAGAAAGAGAUAAUGGGGAAAGGCGGAUUGGAGAUAAGCAUCAGCAUGGUGCUUAAUUUCUUUUUGUUGCUUGAAUUCUUGAAAAAGAGAAGCAAGCUUAGAAGAGGGCAAGAUAAACAGGAAACCUUGAUGUCUGGGGUGAAGUUUCCCACGCUGUCUUUGCCGAGGGAAUUAAUUGUUUGAACAAAUUAAGGGCAUGUCUAUGGUGAAAUUCAAUAGUUUAGGGAUGGAGACUGGAGUCUGGAGGGCGACAUCACAUAGCACGCAAUGAAGGAUGGAUUUCACCAUUUCAUUGUCCAAAUCAACCGAAUGAUGAGAAAAUGUUCCAUGAUAGAAAAACAUUUGGAUCCAUCUGAUUAAUUACACACAUAUUUGGAGUUUAAUGUUACGAUAACGAGCAAUUUGGAUCCGUUAGAUUAGUUGUAUAACAUUAUAUAUUUGAAAAAUUACAUAUAUUACUUGCAAAAGGGUUGCACAAUAACAUCUCGAUUUUAAUCUGAAAGCUCUUAUUAGUGAGGAUUUAACGGUCUGGAGAUGCUUCUUUUUCUCCAAAAUAAAAAUUCUUAUCCUGUUCGAUGAGACCGUUUAUAUACUACUCAAUGCUUUAUAUACCUAGAAGUUGUGCAAUGUGCAAUUCAUAUUGUCCUUCAAAUUUGAGUAGUUGAGGGAUUUUCUUUUAAGUGUAAGCAAGAGGGUUCGUAUUCGAAAUCUCUCACUUGCACUUUCUCCCUCAAUCACCUGGCCUGUCCCUCCCCUGAGUAGUUAAAGGUUUAUUUCAUUUUUGGUCCUUCAAACUAAUUCAAAAUCUCAAUUUGGAUCCCUUUAAUUGAAAAAAAAUCUCACCUCCAAAGUAGCAAACAAGUCAAUUUGGCCCUCAGACUAAAAAAAAAUCAUUUUGAUCUUCCAAAGUAGCACAAACUCCCAAUUUGAUCUCUUAAAUUGAAAAAUUCUCAAUUUAGUCAUCUGUUCAUAAAGUUGUUCCAAGUUGAUCGUUUGAGCCUUUUUACUAACGGCGCAUUCUCCUUACUAACGGCAUAUUCUCAAAAAUCUCUUUGACAUUUCUAACAAUUUUAUUGAGUUUUUCUUAAAAUUUACGUAGUUCUAGGAACCUUCAUUGGUGCAAUAAAAGGACAUCAAUGCCCUUUGGUUAACUCAUUAACCAUAUAGACUAAGGGCGGAAGCCCGGUAUCCACGUCGGACGUGGUCGUCCUCCGCGUGGCGAGGCGGGAUUGGCUGGAUGGUGACGUGGCGCGAAGUGAUUGGUUGGCAAGUGUGCUUGUUGCACCUGAUUUUUUUCUCCCCUUCGUUCCUCGUCCCGUCUUUCCUUCCGCCUGUUUAGUGCUACUGUUUUUGUCUGCAGGUGUUCGGUUGGGGUCGUCAGCUGCCUCUCUGCCCGCUGUUCAGGCUCCUCUCUACCAACUCCAACCUGCUUCUUUCUUUUUUUCUCCGCCACAUAUUGGUGUUGUUUCCACUCCAAAUUUUAUCUUGGUCGCACCUGAUUUUCCCACUGCUCUCUUCUUCGUUCGUCUUUCCUUUCGCUUGUUUUUGCUACUGCUGUGUUGCUUUCUGCCCGCUUCUUUUUCCCUUUUCGUCCACACCCUCAGGCUGUUUCCCUUGGCCUUUACGCUUUCCUUUCCUUGCAUUUGUUUCCUUCCACGUGCAACAGAUGGACAUACUGUCAGAGACUCAGAGUUGGUGAGACUUCCGUUGGGUUCAAUGCUUCACAGAACCGUCCUUUCCCCUUUCUCAAUCUCUCGCCCAUCCUCUGCUUCUUUAUUUAGAAAGCCCUCAUCCUCUCUUCCUCUUCUUCAUAUUUUCUCCGAAAUGGGUUCGAUAUUUUUGCUUAUUUUGAUGUUUUUUUGUUUAGUUUUUGUUUCUUUCUUUGUUUUCUUGAACUUGCAGUUACUCACAAUCACAUUUUGCUUCUCAUAGAUUGAGGACAAUGGAUUGAAAGUCCAUGAGAAGGAGAAAAAGAAUCAACUUUCCAGGUUGUGCUAUUUUCUUUAAUUUAUUUUUCAAUCUUUUUUCCAUUUUUACUCUAGAUUGUACCUUCAAAUUUUUGUAAGAAAAGUUUCUGAUUUCUGAUCUCUUGUUUAGUGCUUUAGUUUUGCUGCUGUUAAUGAUCUCAUUUCUACUAUAUAUUGGAUAGAUAGGGAUCUCGUUUUUCUUCUAAUAGAUUGAGGGAAAAAUGGAAGAAAAGUCGACAAGAAGAAGAAAAAAAGAUUUAGCUUUUCAAGGUUUCAAUUUUUCUGUAGUUUAUUUUCCAGCCAUUUUUCUAAUUUUAUUUUACGCUAAACUAGACCUUCAAGUUUCUGCUUCCUUCUCUUUUUUUUUUUUCUUUUUUAUUGAAGAUUAAAGGUUUUAAUUUCUUGUUUAGUUAUUUAGUUUUGCUGCUGCUAAUAGUCUUAUUUUGCUUUUAUGUCAUAUUUUGAUUUCUGUUUGGUAGAUUGAGGAAAAACGCAAGAAAAACUCACAAGAAGAGAUAGAUUUAGCUUUUUAGAUUGUGAUCUUUAUUCCCCAAUUAUCUUUGCAGAUCACCUAAGAUUCAGCUUUCAAGUUAUAUUCUAUUCUUUGGUUUCCACAAAGUAACUACGGGUAUUAUUUCUUAGUUUUGCCUUUUAUCUUUACUACUGGCUUCUUAACACGGAUGGUUAGGCAUAUGAGUUAUAGAUGGUACUGGGAGAUCCAGUUUGAAUUGUGUUUGGAAUAGAUGUCUUUUGUCAUUACUUAUCCAUUGCAAUAGUUGUGACUCUGUAUUUAGAGGAUGCAUACUUUGCAUAGAGUGGUGUAGUUGCAUUUACAAGUGUCGUUAACACUUACCACUAAAUGGCUUAUGGGUGUCUGAGUUUUGCAGCAGAACCAAAAGUAUUUAUGCUGUAAUUUGCUUCAGUACAAUAAUGAGUUUUUUGUUGAGCUUACGAUGUCUAGUGUGAGGAAAAAGUGCCUGCCAAAACUGUGUUUAUUUAGCCAAUCUCUUAACUCUGAUUUUUUUUUUUUGCCAUCUCACCUUUUGUUCAAUUUGUUGUAUGGGUUCCAGAUUUUUACUUCUUGCUCCAUUUAUUUGUCUCAAAUAUUCUGUGCAGAAGGCAUUCAAUGGAAAAUGAUAUUAUUUCUUAAUGUUUAUGUGCCAUCAUCCUGUAUAAGAAGGAAAGAUUUUUAUGCAUGCAGGGAUUGUACUUGGUUCAGAACCCAUGAUUGCAAUGUUUUUUUGUUUUUUCUUUUGGGUAUUUUGAGUAUCCAAAACUGAUCUGGUGUUUCUAAUAGGUAUUUUGUGUUAAGCUGAUCGCUGGUAGUGAUAGGAGGGAAGCUGCUUGGAUUAUUCUCACCAGCUUUAACGCUACUUAAGUUUGUUCUAUGUUUAGCCUUUUUCUCCUUAAUUUGGUAUGUUUAGUCUUUUGAUGUACUGUUGUUUACUUAAUGUUUCUUUUACCAUGAGAUCCUUGUAAUUUUGUAGUCUCUAAAUUUUUUAGUAAGAAAAUUUUCAUUUAUUGCAGAUUAUUUAAUACUCGAUUUGAAAUUGAUUUGUUAGCUUGCUUAUAUGCAGUUUCAAUGUAUUGAUGUAUUCAUCUUUUGGUUCAUAGUUUGUUUCCCAGUGCGCGGUGAAUACGAGAGGUUUGCUGCAAUGGAACAAACUAUUGUUUAGCUGGUACGAGAGGCGGAUCUGUUCAGCCACCACAAUUCUAGAUGUGCAAGGCCUGGUACGUUUGUCAUUUUGCAAAAUUGGUUGCCAUGGGGGCAGUGGUUCGUGAUUCGUGUCUUUAGAAAAUACCUUACUAGAUAAUAACAUUUUUCCUUUGAUUGGUGCCAACUUGUUUGUGCUAUAUGCGCUGAAAAAGCUUUUCAGCAUUGAAGCAACUAAUAUUUUAGGAUGGUAUCAGUGUACUGUGCUUUUGACAGAAAUUUACAAAUUGUUGACUAGCUUGUACAUGCUUCCAGUUCCUUUUAAAGAUCAUUUUUUUACAGUUGCAUCAGAUACUGUUGUAAAUAACAGCAGGGAACUUUUGAACACAGGGAGUUAAAAAAUUUUCAAGGACAACUGCUAAUUUUUUGGCAUCCAUGACAAAAAUUAACAAAAAUUACUAUCCUGAGGUAUUAAGUAGCUCCUGUCAAAUUCAGUUUAUGGAAAUAAAUAAUUACUCUGUUAGAUACAAUUAUUGGUGAAUGUGGCUUUGGUUUUUCCCUGUAAUUGUUGCAGACACUCCAUCGGAUGUUCAUUGUUAAUGCUGGCCCUGGUUUUAAGAAGGUGCUCUGGCCUGCUGCACAGAAGUUUCUUGAUGCUAAAACUAUUGCAAAAAUUUAGGCAAGGCUGUGUGCCUCUCUCUCUCUCUCUCUCUCUCUCUACCUUUACUGUGGCUCAGAUUCGAUAAAAUCACAUUGUCCAAAUUUGCAGGUUCUGGAGCCUAAGUCUUUGGGAAAACUACUUGAAGCCAUUGACUCAAGGUUUACUUCUACUUUUAGGUCGUCCUGUUUGUGAGAAUUUCAAUUAUAGCAUCCUGACUUUUUUUUUAAUGUUUUUUCAGUCAAUUGCCUAAUUUUUUGGGUGGCUUAUGCUCUUGUCCAGUUGAAGGAGGAUGCCUCUCAUCUAAUAUGAGUCCUUGGAAUGAUCCUGAUAUAAGGAAGGUAGGUACAUGCUUACCCAGUGGACCCUGUAUUUAUUUGAAUAUGUUGUUCAGGUACUUUGAUUUAUGUUUCAUAUUAUGCUUUAAAGCAAAACCUGAUUAUGUUUUAUUUUUUGGGAGUUUGUGCUACAUCACGUCAAGAUGUAUGACAUUUAUUGAUUCAAAAUUGCAGCUUGUAUAUAAUGUGGAAACAAAGUUUGUGAGGCAGAUUACUAGAGUAUCUGGCGAUGACCAGAAAGUUGACUUGUAUAUACAGACAUUCCCUUUGAAGGUAAUUCAGAUUUGAAAAUGUCUCACAGGGUGCUCUAAUAUUUACUUUUCUUGCUGCGUGAUGUGAUGUCAUUAUGUAAACAGGGAAGUAGUAGUUAUACAUCAGUAGUUCAAUCAAGAUUGGAUGUAGAUGAUUCUUGUUCUCCAACUAGAAAAAGUAGCUUCACAUUUCCGCGAUUGUGUAAACCUCAAUCCUAGCUUCACAUUUCGUGAGGCUAUAUGUGCAUUAAUACAGCUGUCUGCUUUCGUUUUGUCAUAAUUUUUGCGUUUGCUUGCUUUGCUUUUGUUGCAGUUUUUUCUUUGCUUCGGAGGCAUUACUUGCUCUGCUCUAUUUUCUCCUGUAUGAACAGGACUGGAUUCACUGCUCGAUUGAUGCCUUGAGUUGUUACUGAAUCUGUCUGUAUUUCACUUUUGUAUUUCAAAGACUAGAACAAUGGCUUCAUGGAGCCCUGAGCCAUCAUGGUUAUCUUACUAUAAUUUUCAUGUAUAAUUUUCAUUAAUAUGCCUGUAUAAUAUAGUUCCAUUUUAUAGUUCCAUUUGAUUGUACUCCAUUUCACUAAUUUUCAUUCUCACCAACAUUACUAGCUAAACAUUAACUGGGCAUAUACCACCGCGCGGUGCGCGGUGGAUACCACCUAGUGAAACAAACAAAACAAACUAGGAACUAGUCGCUCUUCUCCAAUCUCAACCAAUGGCUCCAACUAUAGCCGUCCUCUUCCAUUUCUCUGGUGUCUGUUCCUUAUUCCCUGCUUUUUUUCAUUGUUAUUAUUAGAACCUUUCCUUUUUUUUCCCCUUUUAUUUUUCAAUUUUUGGCAAAUAUUAGCAAAUUGAAAUUCCCAAAUCACAAAAUGAGUGAGUGGUUUCUUGUCAAACAAGGUAGAAGAUGAAUAUAAUGGCAGUGAUUAACACAAAAAAUGAUAAAAUACCAAAAAACUCCAUAUGAUUUGCCGAAUGUUCUAUUUUAUUCCCUUUGAUUUCGAAACCUACAGUAUGACUCCUGUGGUUUUAAUUAAAUUGAGAAUUGGACAGAAAGCAUGCAAUUUGAAUUUAAUGGUUAUAUGUAAAAUACCUAUAUUGUCCCUGUAUAAUGAAUACAUCAGGAGAAUUUUUCUUCAUUCUUGGACUUGUAAUUCGAAGAAUGGAGAGAAGUAGAGAGAAGUAAGAAAAAACCCUAAAUUCAAAAUUUCCCAAAUUCUUUCAAGAAUCAGUGGAGGAUUCUAGCAAAAUAGGACAUCACUUGCCAGUUCAUCCUCAUACUUGUACUGAUAUCUCAAAUCCCUUAGCAUUCUUUCGGUUCCUUUUAUAAUUAUAUAACUUGUACUGAUAUCUCAAAUCCUUACUUCUACUGCCGCUUCGAUAACUUAAGGAAGACAUUUUAGAAGACAUCUCAUACCAAGUUAGAUUCUGAAAUCACCAAUUUCACUCCUAAUCCCUUACUAUUUUAGCUUUGAUCCGAGAGAGGAGAAGUAUUUGGAGAAUAACGGGAUAAGAAUUUAGAACCCUUCCUCUAUCUUUCUUCAGCUUUUAAUCUCGAUAUAGGGGCGUUUUCGAUAAGUGCAGGUAUUAAAUAUUAUUUAUUGCAAGUCAAACUCUCACCAGAAGCUUGUAACUCUCAUGUACUGUUAGAUUGGAUACUUUCUAUUUAAUUUUCAAUUUAGUCGAAAUCACAGGGAGUUAUAGUUAAGUUUUCAAAGCAAAGAGAGUUAAAUUAAACAUUCGAUAAAUCACAAGGAGUUUUUUUAUAUAUUACCCAAGAAAGGGUGACGGGAGUAGGAAGAGCGAUCGAAUGAGGAAUUUUGUUAUUUUAUUUGUUGUGGGAAAAAUUUUCUCGGAUAUCAAUGAUAGCAUUUGGAUUUCUUUUCUUUAUUUGUAAUUGUAGGUGAUGGUUUUCCUAGAAAGACUGAAUUUCAGAGAUUUUAACUUAUGUUUCUAGACUGUCAUGAAGUAUAGUGGAUUAUAUUCUUCACCACACUAGACGGUACUCUUGGUAUUAAUAUUUGUGAUGGUGACCUGGAUUAUUAUGUGUUAGGAAGAUGGCAGGGAUGGUGUUGGAGUUUGGGGCAUGGUAUUGAUGGAUAAAGUGUUACUGGUUCAUGAAAGGUUGGUAUUAUAUUGUAGGCAAGCUUUUGGGUGUUCAUUAUGGCGGUUUUAGUUGAUUCAAUGCUUAAUUGCAGUCAAAGCCUGUAGGUAAUAGAGAGGCAUUUUGGAACCACAGAAACCGCUGGAACUGUUGAGUUGCUUGGAUAUUUUGGCAUUGAGUUCGAGUGAUUGCCUGAUUGGUUUCAUAGGGUGAUGGGUUUUGUAGCAAAACGUAGCAGGUAUAGCAAGCAAGGAUAAAUUCAUAAAGUAGACAAAGAUAACCAUUCUUCUCUCUCUCUCUCUCUCAUUUUUUCUUUUUCUUUUUUUAAUCAUAACAAUAAGGGUAGUUUAGGAUUUUAAAGAAAAAUCUAGUCUUUUAGAUCUACAAUGUUACUUAAACAGUGAAAAAUAGAGAAAUAGGUGUAAUUUUUAAAAUUUAAAAGAAUUGCCUGCAAUUGUCACAAACCUUGGGGAGGUUUGUAAAAUUAUCCCUUCAUUAAAGCAAUAAAAAAUUGGUUGUUUGUAGAAGGAUAUUAACUGCAAAAGAAAGAAAAUAAACCAAGUUAUUUUAGUUAUUCAAUAUGAAGUUUUGCGGGAUGAUAAAUUGCAAUCUUUUGCUGAUUACUUUUGAUUCUUCUGUGGAGCAAAAUUAGGUCCCGUUUGAUAAAUGAUUUUUUUGGAUGUUUGUCUAAAAUUUUAUUGUAAUUUAUUGUAGAAAUUGUAGAAAAAAAUUUUAAAAUGGAAAACUUUUGUUUUCUUUUUCUUUCUUUCUUUUUUGUUUUCUUUCCUCUCUUCUUCUUUUCGCUUCCCUCUCCCCUCUCCCUCCCCCGCCACCUCUUUUUUUUUCGUUUUUCUCUCUCCCCCUCUUCUCCCUCUUCCCCUUUCCUCCCUUCUCCCCCUCUUCCCCCUCGAACAAGCAGCACUAGAAACAAAUUAUUAUUUCUUUUUUGCAAUUUUCUCUCUCCCUCUCUCCUCUCCCUCCCUCUCCCCCUCUCCUCCCUUUCCCCCUUCCGGGCUACCCUCCCCCCGGCGUGAUCUAUAGGGUGGCGGGGAAGGGAGGGGGAGAGUUGUGGCGGGGGAGAGGGGAGGAGAGGGGGGGAAAGUAAGGGAGGGGAGGAGGAGAGGGAGAAGAGAAAGAAAGGAAAAAGAAAAGGGGCCGACACUGGAACCGAUGCUGGCCGGUCUUGGUUGGCGGAGAAGGUGGUGGUGGGUUGAGGUGGAAGAAGAAAGGAGGAAUGGAAAAUUUUUUGUAUGUUUUGGAUAUUUUGAAGGGUGUAAUUUAAAAAUUUUGAGAAUUUUUUUGAGUUUAUUGUAAUUAAAAUUGUUAAAAAACUUGUAAGAGACAAACUUGACCAAAAACUCCUUUGCCAAAUAGGCCCUUAGAUGUUUUAUAAAGGAUAAAUACUGCACUAGUCCAUCUUACCAAAAGAAUGGAAUUUUUUUCAUUGAAAUAAUUAAAAUAGGGAAACUUUAGUAGAAUGAUUAAAUAAUCAUUCUGGGUUUUUGUCUUUAAUAGUUUGAUUUCUUCGUACUUAUUAAAUAUGCAAUAUAAUAAUAGGUUGGUGGUGACAUUUUGCUACUUUGGUGGUGACAUUUUUUUGGUUUAACGGAGCAAAUUGAGAUUUUGAACCCCUUUGAAUGAACAAAAUUAAAUUAACCCAUAAAUUAAAAGUGUUUGUUGAUUAUUAGUCCCUCUGGCUCUGUUUUUGUUCAUCAUGUAUUUCCUUGCUCUUCGAUGCUUUGUUUUUCAGAAAAGUUUAGGGUCGACUUACGAAAAAUCAAAUUCCAGAAUUCUGUUCUAUUUAAGAUAAAUUAACAUACUCAGUUUGAGAGUGUUAAUGUCAUAAUAUGGUUUUUGUCAUGAAGUACAUUUUAUGAUUAAGUACCUGUUUGUCCGAAUUUUAUGCUUUUUAUUUUUUUAAAAAAAUUAAAUUAACUCAAGUAUUUGACAAUGGAGGGAUUGUUACACCUACCAAAGUACCCCACCAUAGCAAAAAAGAAAAAAAAAGAUUGGUGUCUUCGAAAAAGCAUUGUUCCAUUUGUAAUUUUCAAGUGUAUACUUCAUCACUUCAAUAGGAACCAAAUCUUAUUAAAAAGAAAGCAUUAUCCUAAACAAAUUAAUAAUAUAAACAACUUUUUUUUUUUAAAAAAAAUAUUAAUCAUGCAGAUCUCGAAAUCACCUAGACAGAUCACAACCAAUAAAUUAGUAAUUACUACAUAAACAAUUAAGGCCUGUGGUUGGUUAGUAUAUGACUUAGCCAGCUCCAAGUCAUAUUGACUCAGACCAGAAAUCAACCCUCAAGUCAAUGGUGUAACAUAUUCCCUAUUGUUGAGUAUUAGUUUCGUUUGGCUCUCUAUUUGUUGAUGUAUUUUUUCUGAAUACUUUUUGAUGCUUCCUGUUUGGAUUGCAACUCUUUGGUGUUUUUGUCUAUGUUUUCAGAAUCGGAUCGGAUAGCGACUCGGCCGAGGUCAGGGGUCAGGGGUCAAUGGGUUCGACCGGGGGUCGAUAGGGGUCGAACCGGAUGACGUCAUAAAUAAAAAUUAUUUAAAAAUUAAAAUAUUAUAUAUAAAAUAUCUAAUAAUAUAUUGAUAUUAAUAAAGGUAUAUCCAUAUAUAUUUGAUGUUUCAAAUAUAUUUAACAAGAAAAUACAAAGAAAUUAGAACAAUCAAGUAGCAAUUUAUAUUAUUUAAUAAAUAUUAACAAGUUUAGAAUUAAAAUUAUGAAUUUAAUUGAAAAAUAACAUCAAAUUUUAGGAUAAUAUUUAUAAAGUAUCAAAUAUUUGAGGUAUAUCAAUAAGUUUUAACAAUUUAGGGGGUCAAAACAUAAUAUUAAAAAGUUUGAAUUUUUUUUAAAAAAAAAUACUGUUGAACCGGAAAAAUCGGUUUUUUUCCGGUCAAACCCGGUUUUUGACCGGCUUUGACCGGGUUUUGAAAUUUCCGGUUUUUUAAUGUGACUCGAACCGGCUACCUGGCCGGUUCCCGGUUCGACCGGCCGGUCCGGUCCGAGUUUGAAAACAGAGGUUUUUGUAAACAAAAAAAAAAAAAUGUAAAAAAUGAUUCAUGUGAACUAAGCAGAUGAUCAGAAAAUGUGUUUAGAGUUUUUUCUUUUAAAAGAAAAGUCAAAAUCCAAAAGCCAAUAGAUUUUAGAAAAGUUUAGGGAUUGAUGAGACAAAGUUACCAAAAUUUUCAUCUAUUUAAGAUACAUUAGCAUCCUCAGGUUGAGAGUUUUAAACUCCUAAUUUGGUUUUUUGUCAUGGACAAAAUUUUAGGAUUGACCUAACUAUUUGUCUCAACUUUAUGCUUUUUAUCUUUUUUGUGUUUGCUAUUGAAUUAAGUCAAGGAUCAGACAAUGGGAGGAUUGUUACACCUACCAAAGAACCCCACCACAAAAUUUAUGCCUUCACAAAGGAUUGUUCCAUUUGUGAUUUUCAAAUGUAUAAUUUCAUGGCACUUGAAUGGCAACCAGAUCUCUUGAAGAAGACAGCAUAAUCCUAAAUAAAUAAUGUAACAACUUUUAGAAAAGUUUAAUCAUGCACAUUAAUUUCAAAAUCACCAAGAUAGAGCAUAACAUUAUACAAACAAUAAAUUAGUAAUCACUGCAGAAACAAUUAAUUAAGACCGGUGUGAAUCAUUUUUGGUUUCCUAGGCCGCCAAUUUUGAAUCACGUUAGUCCUAAUAUUUUUUUAUUAGGAAAUUGUAAUUGAAGCUCCAUCAUUGAUUUUCACAAAAACUUGUAGGACCACGUUCCAUCACCAUUAUAAAAGCACAAGACUGCUAACUGAGUUUGUCUCAAACCUAUAGCAAUCAGCAAAAAUGUUGUCCAGUGCAUUUUUCGCUUCAAAAGAGAGUGAAAAUAACUGGAGAAACUACAUGAUACUUACUUACAAAACUCCCCUAGAAACUAUACCAAGUGGUCCAAGCAUUUUUCAACUUUCCAAAAUUUUGAAAGACACCAAGCCUGAGGCUUAUAUUCCCCAGAGUUUAGGCCUCGGACCAUUCCAUCACUGCCGUCCCGAACUUCAGGAGAAGAUGCUCUGGAUAAAGCGUGCAGCACUCAGUAUCCAUAACGUUGAACUCCAGAGAAUCAUGGAACUUCUUAAGAGCCUUCCAUGGCCAUUUGAAGAGAGAAUCCAAUCAUGUUAUGGCAGCUACCUUGAUUUCGACAAGGAAACCUUAAUACUGAUUGUGAUUGUGGACUCCAUAUGCUUGCUUCAUGCUCUUGAUGUUCUAGAGAAUUAUAAGGGACAGCCAGGGGAGGAGGAGGAGGUGGAACCCAGUUUGAUGAUUUCAGAUAUGAUGAUGCUCGAGAAUCAAAUCCCGAUUACUCUGAUUGAUCUAGUGUUACGGGAUGAGACUCUGGCAGAGGAGUUCACUCAGCUGACUAGUCUGUUUGAUAUUUUCUACGAAUUCGUCAGCAAACUAUCUCCAGUGAAAUUGGCCGACGAUGACAGGGAUUAUAUGAGAGAGAUUUGGGGUCCUCCAAAACAUUUGCUGCAUUUUAUGUAUAAGUUCGCUGUGGGCAGGAAGUUAGCUGUAAUAGUAGAAUCUCGUAAAUUCGUCCCAGGAUCAACCGAGGAAACGGACUCUAUUACCAGCCAAUCACUGGCAUCCUCGAUGCAAUCAACUGUGGAAAUAAACUCUGCAGCGGAAGCUGAAUCCACAGUAUCUAAUAUACUCCGGCAAACAGGGGAUUCUCUAGUAUAUGCUGGGGGGCAAGCCGGAGAGUUCUUCAUCCGGGCAAUUGAGGAAAUAAACUCUUUAACUGCGGCUUAUAAAGAUGGAGGUCUCAGAGUGCCAACAUGGUUCGACAAGACUGUACAAGGUAUCGGGAAGGCUGUGAGUUCCAGUGAGAUGAAGCAGGCCAGUGCUUUGGAUAAAGUUCAUUCUGUUUCAGAACUCUACAACAUUCCUAAGCUAACAUUUCAUGCCCUUCCAGUUGGAUGUGGUUUCGGCAACAUUGUUUUUGACAAAAUUAAGAAGGUAGUAUACCUCCCAAUGAUGACUCUGCAUGCAAAUUCGGAAGUCAUAUUGAGAAAUUUGCUGGCGUUUGAAGCAGCAUAUAAGGAUGCCAGACAAGGGCCGCAAUCAGAAGUCAGAGACCAUAUGUGUGCUAUCAUAAAAACUGAAAAAGAUGUGCAGCUGCUCAAGGAUGCCAAGGUCAUCGAAACGCAAUUGAAAGAUGAAGAUGUAGUCAAGCUAUUCAAGUCGAUCAAAAAAAACAUGGAAAGGCUAGGUAAUAAGUCCAGUUUUAUUGAUGCUUUCGGCAGGUACACGAACGAAGAUUAUGACAAUGUCCCAAUAGUGAAGGCCUGUAACUGGAUAAAGAAAUGGGCUCUCGCUUUCUUGAAUUUUGUGAAGAGAAUUUGGCCUGUGUUUGUGGUGCUGCUGCUUUUCCUGCAAACGUUAUGUGAUAUUUACGACUGUCGUCGCUGGCCGUGGUUCGGGACUACCCGGGAGACUGCAGAUCUUCCUUUGCAGGAUUCUUCAUUUCUAAGCCUGGAACCCAAAGCUGAACUCUUGAAACCACGCAAAUUUCUUCAUUAUUAUAGUUAAAUGCUGGAUGGAGAAGGUACGGCUAUGUUUGGUGCGAUUGCAUGGGUGUUGGUGUGUUAACAUUUGCAUCAUUUCUCUUGUCAAAACAUCAACCUGUACAAGUGGACAAAAUUCUUCCAGCAACUAUAUGCAACCGAACAAAUACACAGCCAUACUUGCCUUUUAAGUCCACGACCACCUAAAUUUUGCUUGUGGAAUGGGCUAAUAGGGCAUUACUAGUAUAAUUGUGCCCUGUUGUUAUUUGUUCCUAUAAUGUGAGUAGUUGUAUUUAUCUGUUUUGCAAACUAGCUAGUUCCUUGUAGUUCAUAAUAGUCUCAACUUAGUUUUUUUAAUUUAAUUUUCCUUACUUUAAGUUUAAGAAAGGGUUAAUUUUGAUAAGAUUGGUAGGCUACAAUAAUGGCGUAUCUAGUGGAGUAAAAUUGCGAAUUGGUGAGACAUUAUAACUUGUUACAAUCCUGAUAUGGUGAUUGGUGACUACUAGGGGAGAAGUGUAAACAUUAGAGACGAACUUAAUAUGAUGAAAUAAUACAAGUUAACUCAUGCUGUUUAUCUAAAACAUGACCCGCCAAAACUUUAAGCUCGGGUCCAGCAUUAAUUUAAGGCUUUUUUUUUGACAAAUUAGUUUAAGGCUUUAAGCUAUUCAAGGGAGAUUAGUGUACUAUUGACAAGUAUAGAGUAAAAAUUGCAUGCAAUUAUUGGCAGGGGUGACAUCGAGUUAGAGUUGAACUCGAGUAGCACUAUACUCGCGCUCAAACAUGACACUUAAAAAGUGCAAGUCGAGAUCAAACUCGGAGUCAAAUGAGUAGUAAAGAUGAUGCUCUGACUCGAGCUCGGUGUCAUGUUCGAGAACUUGAACUCAAGUCAAGUAGGCUCAAUCGUGCUGUCAAGUCCCACUUCCAGAAUUGCAGAAUUUCACAGCACUCUUCACAAAAUGAUAAUACACAAUAUUUGCUUAAUUGCCUGCCCCAAAUACCAAUAGCAAACAAUAGUUUCCAUCAUCAAUAACCUGUAAAGCUAUAAAAAGUGCCCCAAAGCCAUGUACAGCUGAAAUGGUUCACGGGUUCAAGCAUCAGAGGGUCCUGUCUCCUAAUGCUGAAGUACUGAACUAUUGACACCUCAAGACUUGAGGCAAGUCUCAGGAAACAUUUAGUAGUAUGCUAGUCUGCAAUAAAUCACUAAUCCAUUCCAAUACUCAUUUCCUCCAGAAAAGAGCAGUAAAAGAAACAUGAGACUAAUAAAAAGGUAAAGCGCCAUAUCAUGAAUUCAUUAUAGGAUAUUCAACAAGCAAACAUGGUCCUUUUGUUUUCUUUAAUUUCAGAUCCUUGAGACUAUUUCAUAUAAAUUUGUUCUUUAAAUUCACCACGCAAGAAAGUUGUCUUAACAUCAAGUUGUUUUUAUUACAAGUCACACACGACAACUAAAACAAGCAAAACAUGAAUAGAAUUAUGCUUAACAAUAAGUAAACACGCAUUAUUGAAAUCAACAUAUUAUAUAUGACUAUAUUCUUUUGCAAUCAAUCGAGCUUUUGCACGUAGGAUUUUCAACUCUUGGAAUAUCUUCCUUUUUCUUUUAUUGCAUCCAAUAAUUUUCUUACAUAAAGAUGGCUUCAUAAGAAUUCAAGUUCUAUUUUGGCGAAGAAUCUAUUUUGCCAUUCAUCGCAAUCAAGUACCUAAUGGAAUCAUCACAAGAAACUACUUGAGUAGAUAGAAGGCUCACCAACUCUAUCUAUUUCUAUCCUAGAAAUAGAGAGGGUAACUAUAAAAAAAAAAAAAAAAUUAAUAGUUACAUGAGGCAAUGGUGGAAUUAGAUAGAAUAUUUCAAAAAUUUAUGGAGGGCAAAAGUAGGGCAAUUAUACACACUCUAAACUUUGUCUAAGUUAUUCUAUAGGCUUUUAAAAAUUGAGGGGUUCAAUGUGGCUCCGCCCCUGAUGUACAUCAGCACAUCUCCAAAUCACACAGACAGGACAUAAACAAUAAAUUAGUAAUUAAUAUACAAACAAUUAAGGCCAGUGGUUGGUUAGCGUGUGGCUUAGCUCCAAGUCAUUGAUUAUGGAUUCUACGAAAUGAAGAAGAGAGCAACUGACCCAUGUGACUCAUAUCAUACUAUAAUAUAAUAUAUCAAUUGUUCCAAAAACCUGCUUAAUCCUUUAGGAACAGAACAUGAUAGGCCAUACGACGGGUCUUAUGCCGGGUGCCCGACUCAACUUGAAUCAGCUCUCAUCAUAAUCUUUCUUUUUCCUCCAUACAAUUACAACCCUUAUUCAUAAAAUCAAUAAGAAGAUUGAUAAAAAUACUACUAAAAUUACUAAUAAAAAUGCUACAACUACCCAAUUAUUCAAUCUAAUUAACCUUUUAGGCAGCCCUAUUGAUACAGAUUGAUGGAUUGAAGAACCAGGGGUUCCUCGAACUGUAUCAAAUUGCUCAUAAAGACCACAGAUAAGUUGCAAGUUUCUCAUAUUGUCAUUUUCUCGGAACUUAAAUUUUUCUCUGCUAUCCCUCAAACUUCUUUACCUUCUUCUUUCCUACCAUCACAUUUCACCAAUCCUUCUAUUGACAUAUUUCUUGAGUGUGUCCUUCCAAUGAAUGCAUUUCUUUAGCUCUAUAACAGUCCUCUAAGCCUUCUGAUGAGUUGCCUUCUUCAAUGGAUCCAUCACCUCCUUCAAUGGUUCCAUCACCUCCUUCUUCCUCUCGGUAUCUCUCUCAGGUAAGAACUGAACCAGCUUAUCUUCAUGAUUAUCAUUAUUUUUCUGCUUUAGAUGCUUUUUCCUUUAAUUCAUUGUGGCAGAAAGUUAUGCAAGAAAAGUUAGAUGCUUUGCUUCAAAUUCAUACUUGGGAUUUGGUCCAUUUGUCUUCUUGCAAAACUUUUAUUGGCUGUGAAUGGGUUUACAAAAUCAAAACUCACUUUGAUGGGUCAAAAAUACCAUGAUUUCGACAAGGAGACCUUGAUGCUGAUUGUGAUUGUUGACUCCAUAUGCUUGCUUCUGCUUCUCCAAGAUCUGGAGAGCCACAAUAAACGUCGAAGGAAGGUACAUGAGGAAUUCAGUUUGAUGAUACCUGAUUUAAUGAUGCUGGAAAACCAAAUCCCAAUACCUAUGACGCUACAAGUGAUACAGCAUUGCAAUCCUGAUAAGGGGUUCUUUAAGGUGGUGGACAUUCUAUUCGACAUGGUUUAUAAUUCCAUCAGCAGACUUUCGUUAGUGAAAUUGUCCAAUGACGACAGGGAACUUAUGAGAAAGAUUUGUGGUCCUCCACAACGUUUGCUGCAUUUUAUGUAUAGUUUGGUUGUGGGCAGGAAGCUUGCUGCAAUGUCACAACAUGGUAAUAAACACCCAGGAUUGAUCGGGGAAAUAAGCCCUGAAUCCACAGGAUCUGACAUAUUGCAGCAGACAGGGGAAUCUUUGGUAUAUGCUUGGAAGCAAACCAGAGAGUUUUUCAUCCAGGCAAUCGGGGAAAUACUCUCCGCAAUCGCAGCUACAAAAGCUGGAGGUCUCAAUGUGCCAGAAUGGUUGGACAAGAGUGUACAAAGUGUUAUGAAGGCUAUGAGCUUCACUAAUCAUAAGAAGCUGGAAACUGUGUUCGAUGAAGUUAAUUCUGUUUCAGAACUUACGAUAUUCCAAACAUAACCAUUCAAGCCCUUCCGGUCGGAUGUGGUUUUGGUAACAUUGAUUUUGACAAAACUAACAAAAAAAUUUGCCUCCCAAUCAUGCCACUGGAUUCGUUUUCAGAAGUCAUAUUGAGAAAUUUGGUCGCAUUUGAAGCAUCUUAUGUGGAGUUUAUGAGGGCCAUCAUCAGACGUUAGAGAUCAUAUGCGCUGUUAUGAGAAAUGUUAAAGAUGUGCAGCUGCUGAAAGAUGCCAAGGUCAUAGAAAUGCGAUUGAAAGAUGAAGAUGUAGUCAAGCUAUUAAAGUCAAUGAAGAUAUCCACGGAAAAGCUAGGUAAGAAGUCCGAAUUCAUCGAUGUUUUUGGCAAAUAUAUGAAUCAAGAUUACGAUAAUCACCCAGUAAUCAAGGCCCGUAACUGGAUAACGAAAUGGGCCCUUGCUUUGGUGAAUUUUGUAAAGUGAAUUUGGCCUGUGUUUGUGGUGCUGCUGCUUUUUGUCCAAACGUUUUGUGGUAUCUACGAAUGCCGUUGCCAGCCAUGGUUUGGGAGUAUGUCAUGGAGUGAGCUGUGUGAAAGAAGGCCACGUGUUUAGAUUGUAUUGGGAGCCAUGUGUUUAAUUCUUAUUGGUGUAGUUAGAAGUUUGUUAGAAAUUGAUAGCUUUAUAAGUAGACAUGUCUGCUUCAUUGUAUGAGGAGAUUUUUGAAUUAUUCCAUCCGAAAUUGGUUGUAGUAACCUGAGGAGCAAUCCUCAUUUUUUCCUCCCAAAUUUCCUUCAGAUCUUCCACAUUCUUAGCUGAAUUCAUUACCUCUGUUCUUGUAAUUUGUUUUCCAGAUUCAUUAAUGAAAGUUGAGCUC
RNAcentral lists this long non-coding RNA (37944 nucleotides) under Coffea arabica (coffee). RNAcentral describes it as "long non-coding RNA (CARA_LNC006509)". The record is from RNAcentral. Lineage: Eukaryota; Viridiplantae; Streptophyta; Magnoliopsida; Gentianales; Rubiaceae.